GUCUGUCUGGCUCAGUUGGUAGAGCAUGUGGUUCUUGAUCUCAAGGUCAUGGGUUCAAGCCCCAUGUUGGGUG
Molecule: transfer RNA, 73 nt
Filed under: Mustela putorius furo (domestic ferret)
Lineage: Eukaryota; Metazoa; Chordata; Mammalia; Carnivora; Mustelidae
Rfam family: tRNA
About the family: Transfer RNA (tRNA) molecules are approximately 80 nucleotides in length. Their secondary structure includes four short double-helical elements and three loops (D, anti-codon, and T loops).
Source: Rfam by way of RNAcentral